RNAcentral lists this ribosomal RNA (998 nucleotides) under uncultured Desulfovibrio sp. Its description in RNAcentral is "bacterial SSU rRNA". It matches the Rfam family "Bacterial small subunit ribosomal RNA", at positions 9 to 1000 of the family's 1533-position model. Lineage: Bacteria; Pseudomonadati; Thermodesulfobacteriota; Desulfovibrionia; Desulfovibrionales; Desulfovibrionaceae. The record is from RNAcentral.
GAGUUUGAUCAUGGCUCAGAUUGAACGCUGGCGGCGUGCUUAACACAUGCAAGUCGAACGGAAUUAAGGAGCUUGCUCUUUAAUUUAGUGGCGCACGGGUGAGUAACGCGUGGAUGAUCUACCCUUGAGUUUGGGAUAACAGCGGGAAGCUGUUGCUAAUACCAAAUAACAUCACAAAUCAACCUGUGAUCAAAGGCGGGGUAACCUGUCGCUUGGGGAUGAGUCCGCGUCUCAUUAGCUAGUUGGUGAGGUAAUGGCUCACCAAGGCAACGAUGAGUAGCCGGUCUGAGAGGAUGAUCGGCCACACUGGGACUGGAACACGGCCCAGACUCCUACGGGAGGCAGCAGUGGGGAAUAUUGCGCAAUGGGCGAAAGCCUGACGCAGCGACGCCGCGUGAGGGAUGAAGGUUCUCGGAUCGUAAACCUCUGUCAGAAGGGAAGAAAAACCAGGGGAGUAACUGCCCUUGGCCUGACGGUACCUUCAAAGGAAGCACCGGCUAACUCCGUGCCAGCAGCCGCGGUAAUACGGAGGGUGCAAGCGUUAAUCGGAAUCACUGGGCGUAAAGCGCACGUAGGCGGCUUUGUAAGUCAGCGGUGCAAGCCCUUCGCUCAACGAAGGAAUUGCCGUUGAUACUGCUUAGCUUGAGUUUGUGAGAGGAUAGUGGAAUUCCAGGUGUAGGAGUGAAAUCCGUAGAGAUCUGGAGGAACAUCAGUGGCGAAGGCGACUAUCUGGCACAAUACUGACGCUGAGGUGCGAAAGCGUGGGGAUCAAACAGGAUUAGAUACCCUGGUAGUCCACGCCGUAAACGAUGGAUACUAGGUGCUGGAGGCUUGACUUUCAGUGCCGUAGCUAACGCGUUAAGUAUCCCGCCUGGGGAGUACGGUCGCAAGGCUGAUACUCAAGAAAUUGACGGGGGCCCGCACAAGCGGUGGAGUAUGUGGUUUAAUUCGAUGCAACGCGAAAAACCUUACCUAGGCUUGACAUCCGGAGAAUCCCU